UACGUAGGGUGCAAGCGUUGUCCGGAAUUAUUGGGCGUAAAGAGCUCGUAGGCGGUUUGUCGCGUCGGUUGUGAAAGCCCGGGGCUUAACCCUGGGUCUGCAGUCGAUACGGGCAGGCUAGAGUUCGGUAGGGGAGACUGGAAUUCCUGGUGUAGCGGUGAAAUGCGCAGAUAUCAGGAGGAACACCGGUGGCGAAGGCGGGUCUCUGGGCCGAUACUGACGCUGAGGAGCGAAAGCGUGGGGAGCGAACAGGAUUAGAUACCCUGGUAGUCCACGCUGUAAACGGUGGGAACUAGGUGUGGGCAGCAUUCCACGUUGUCUGUGCCGCAGCUAACGCAUUAAGUUCCCCGCCUGGGGAGUACGGCCGCAAGGCUAAA
This 377-nucleotide ribosomal RNA is filed under the name uncultured bacterium. RNAcentral's name for it is "bacterial SSU rRNA". It matches the Rfam family "Bacterial small subunit ribosomal RNA", at positions 524 to 898 of the family's 1533-position model. The record is from RNAcentral.